GGCGAUUCAAGAUUGAUGUGCGUAAGAUUAGGUAGUUGGUGAGGUAACGGCUCACCAAGCCGACGAUCUUUAGGGGGCGUGAGAGCGUGGUCCCCCACACGGGUACUGAGACACGGACCCGACUCCUACGGGAGGCAGCAGUAAGGAAUAUUGGUCAAUGGGCGAAAGCCUGAACCAGCCAUCCAGCGUGCAGGAAGAAGGCCCUAUGGGUUGUAAACUGCUUUUGUCAGGGAAUAAACCUGUGGAUUUAUCCGCAGCUGAAGGUACCUGAAGAAUAAGCACCGGCUAACUCCGUGCCAGCAGCCGCGGUAAUACGGAGGGUGCGAGCGUUAUCCGGAAUUACUGGGUUUAAAGGGUGCGUAGGCGGCCAUGUAAGUCAGGAGUGAAAGUUUGCGGCUCAACCGUAAAAUUGCUUUUGAUACUGCAUGGCUGGAAUCAGGAUGAGGUCAGCGGAAUGUGGCAUGUAGCGGUGAAAUGCAUAGAUAUGCCAUAGAACACCAAUUGCGAAGGCAGCUGGCUAGACCUGUAUUGACGCUGAGGCACGAAAGCGUGGGGAGCGAACAGGAUUAGAU
This 572-nucleotide ribosomal RNA is filed under the name uncultured bacterium. RNAcentral describes it as "bacterial SSU rRNA". It matches the Rfam family "Bacterial small subunit ribosomal RNA", at positions 214 to 783 of the family's 1533-position model. The record is from RNAcentral.